RNAcentral lists this ribosomal RNA (169 nucleotides) under Staphylococcus hominis. Its description in RNAcentral is "partial 23S ribosomal RNA". It matches the Rfam family "Bacterial large subunit ribosomal RNA", at positions 2757 to 2925 of the family's 2925-position model. The record is from RNAcentral. Lineage: Bacteria; Bacillati; Bacillota; Bacilli; Caryophanales; Staphylococcaceae.
GGACGGGAUAAGUGCUGAAAGCAUCUAAGCAUGAAGCCCCCCUCAAGAUGAGAUUUCCCAACUUCGGUUAUAAGAUCCCUCAGAGAUGAUGAGGUUAAUAGGUUCGAGGUGGAAGCGUGGUGACACGUGGAGUUGACGAAUACUAAUCGAUCGAAGACUUAAUCAAUUU